This 493-nucleotide ribosomal RNA is filed under the name uncultured bacterium. Its description in RNAcentral is "partial 16S ribosomal RNA". It matches the Rfam family "Bacterial small subunit ribosomal RNA", at positions 30 to 523 of the family's 1533-position model. The record is from RNAcentral.
AUUGAACGCUGGCGGCAUGCUUUACACAUGCAAGUCGAACGGUAACAGGUUAAGCUGACGAGUGGCGAACGGGUGAGUAAUGCAUCGGAACGUGCCCGAUCGUGGGGGAUAACGCAGCGAAAGCUGCGCUAAUACCGCAUACGUUCUGAGGAUGAAAGCGGGGGACCGUAAGGCCUCGCGCGAUCGGAGCGGCCGAUGUCAGAUUAGGUAGUUGGUGGGGUAAAGGCUCACCAAGCCAACGAUCUGUAGCUGGUCUGAGAGGACGACCAGCCACACUGGGACUGAGACACGGCCCAGACUCCUACGGGAGGCAGCAGUGGGUAAUUUUGGACAAUGCGCGAAAGCCUGAUCCAGCAAUGCCGCGUGCAGGAAGAAGGCCUUCGGGUUGUAAACUGCUUUUGUACGGAGCGAAAAGGCUCUCUCUAAUACAGGGGGCUCAUGACGGUACCGUAAGAAUAAGCACCGGCUAACUACGUGCCAGCCGCCGCCGUAA